CCUCGAGUAACUUCUUAAGAAAGAACUCCUGUUAGUUGGAUAUUGGAUUUCCUGGAUGAUUAUCUUCUCACUCAAGCCGUCUGGAGCUGUGACAGCCAUCUUGUGACCAUGUGGGGAUGAGCACGAGGAAGAAGACAACAUGUGAAGGAAGAAAGUCAGAAAGAGCCCAAUUUCUUGAUGGCAUCAUUGAGCAGCUGAACCCAUGCCACAGUUCCUGUUAACUUAAAAAAAUAAAUAAAGC
This 241-nucleotide long non-coding RNA is filed under the name Pan troglodytes (chimpanzee). RNAcentral describes it as "long non-coding RNA NONPTRT018469". The record is from RNAcentral. Lineage: Eukaryota; Metazoa; Chordata; Mammalia; Primates; Hominidae.